GGAUAUUUCUAUUUUGAUGAUGGACAAGUACAGGCCUUCAGAGCCAUACAACAGCACAAGUGUACAGAGGACCGUCCAAUGUGAUCUCCGUGUCAUCUUCUCCCCGAAGUGUUGUUUGGUUGGCAAAGAUACGUACAGCAAAAUCGAGCUCACAAAUGGACAACCGAGUGACAACGAAAGUACUACAAAGUAGUGUGUGGCACACAGAACAAAUAUUCUAGAUAGCCGGGUCCUCCUUUUUUGCGAAUAUUUCUUUUCUUUUCCUGAAAUGCCAAAAUAGCACUGUAAAGUGUACACGAAUUACUCGCAGGAAUGGAAUAUGUACCAUCUUUAUUCAUUUAAUUUAACAUGCUGCAGCACUGUAAAGUGUACGAGGUUAUUAGAACUUGCCCAACAUACCCAGCAUCAGGCCAUCACAAAACAUAUCUUACAACGAAUGUAUAUUCACAUAACAUAGCGAUUUCUAUACAGCAAAACGACACAACUUGACACGGUAACAUGUACUUGUACUACUACUGAUCGUAAGCUUGGCUCGGUGGUGUCAACUUAACUUAAUUACUUUUUACGAGUAGUUCUUGCUGCCGAAGAUGCUUCGGAGCUUGCCGCGCUCCUCCAGCCGCUCCAGCAGGUCCCGGGCGCCGGCGACCUCCAUGUCCGACAGCUUCUUCAGGUACCCGAUGGCGCCGUGCGAGACCAUCGGCUUCUUGCACCGCUUCGCCGGCGACAGCGUCGCCAGGCACGCGAUGGCGUACUUCUUCGCCGUGUUCGCCGGGCUGGGGUCCAGCAGCUGCACCAGGCUCGGCACGCUCCUCUCGUCCCGCCGCACCUCCCGCGCGUUGCCCGGGUGCCCCGCCGCCAGGCUCGCCACCGCCUGCGCCGCCACCUCGCGCGCGCCGGCCGACUUAGCCUCCAGCAUCCGGACAAGUAGUGGGAUGCACCCGUGCUCGCCCACCAUCCGCUUCAUGUCCUUGCUGCCGCUGGCCGCGAUCCUGCAGAUCGCCGCGGCCGCCGCCUGCUGCGCGCCGGUUGACCCGGCCCUGAGCGCGUGCGCCAGCCGCGGGAGCACGCCGAGGGACACGAUGGUGUCGGGGGAGAUGGCGUCCACCAUGUUCCCGAGCGCGCGCACCGCGGACUCCUGCGGCGACGGCGCGUCCAGGUAGAGGAGCAGGCUGCGCAGCCCGCCGUCGUGCGCGACGGCGCGCCGGAAGCUGUCGCCGCCCGACGUGAGGUUCUGCAAGCAGUCGGCGGCGUGCUCCUUGGAGCCCAGCACGGUGCCGUAGUCCAGCAGACUGACCAUGACGCGGACGAUCCCUUCGUCGGCCAGCGCUUGCCGCGCCUCGGGCGCCGCGGAGAGGUUCUUGAGCGCGCCGGCCGCCGCGGACUGGGACACGGAGUCCCCCGUCUGGCAGAUCUCGAUGAGCGGGCGCACGCCGCCGUGGCCGGCGAUGGCGCGCGCGACGUCGGGGGACGCGGAGAGGCGCUGCAGCGUGAGGACGGCCUUCUCGCGGCCGACGAGGCUGCUGCCGGACUCUGCCAGCCGGAUGAGCGGCGGCAGCGCGCCCUCCGACACGAGCAGCCCCUCGCAGGCGCCACCCCCCGACUCGGCGAGCCGGCAUAUCACCAUGGCGGCCUUCUCCCGCGCCUUGGGCGCCGGCGCCGUGAGCAGCUGCACCAGCGCGGACACGUUGGCGCGGCCGAGCAGCGACACCACGCUCUUCUCGUCCCGGUUGAGCGCGUCGAGCAGCCCGUCCACCGCGCGGCUCUUGGCCUCGGCGUGCCCGAUCUGCAGCCGCGCGAGCAGCUCCCGCACGUCCGCCUGCGCCGUCGCCGGGGCGGUGACGGCGGAGGCGUCGGAGUCGGACAGCACGCCGGUGCGGACGAGCAGCGCGCAGUCCCGGAGGUUGACGUCGAGCCGGGCGCCGAGCGCGUCGAUGGCGCUCUGCGUCUGCAGCUUCCCGUCCCUCGGCGGGCCCCGGCACCGCGAAGCAAGCUCCGCCGCAUCGGCGAGCGUGGCGGCCACGGAGUGCAGCAGCUCGCGGCAGAGCGCGUUCCGGGCGAAGCAGGGGUGGCUGGACAGGUCGGACAGGCGCGCGGGGAGCGUGCCCAGCUUGGCCGCGAUCGCCUUCCACCGGCCGGGGAACCCCUCCGCGGCCGUCGCCGCGCCGACCGCCGGCGGCACCAUCCCCCUGACGCGCGCCAGCAGCUCCUCCGCCGUCUCAACCCCGGGAGCAGCGGCCGCCGGGUCGCCCCGCACACUCAUGCCUGGUCGCCUGGAGAGUGGAGGCCCGUGAUCUGGAGUGGCCGAGGAGAACGGUCGUCGUCGCUAGCUGGCCUGACUGGCUCGUCAAGGCUGUGGUGAAGGCAGGGAGGGAACAAACGAAAGAGGUAGCAGGGGUGGCAGAGUGGCAGGGGAAGGAGGAGGAAUCGUCUACGACUACGAUGAUCUCCCUCCCUCCCUGGCCACUGUUUCUUUAAGCGAAAACUAGUGGCGGCGUCGCUUUCGUUUAGGCAGCCAUUGGCGUCGCGGCAGCGGCUAUCGUGGGGAGAUACGGGCGGCCAUGAGCGGCACGCCGAGCCAAGAUACCAAAAUCCAAAAUCCAAGCCAUUUCUACUCGUACUCGAUCGAGAUCUCAGUUGGGGUGAGGAGAAGAGAUGUGUGGGUUGGUAGAAAGGGGGGCGUGUCGGGUCGGAAUUCACGUUGGUUUGACGGACGGACCCUGUUGUUUUGUGUUCUUGAUGGUGGUGGUUUAGUGGGAAGUGGUUAAGAGACUUGGGACAGACGGACAGUGCGGGGGGCGUGGACUCGAGGGAAUGAGACGAAUGACGGGCACCAAAGGCAAGAAGAUCAGGUGUGAGCAAAAUGAAAUGGCGACUCUUUUAUUUUAUGAGGAAAUGUGGUGCAUGUUACUGGUGGUGGUGGUGCAUGUUGCCGAAGCAGGCGGGCACAGUCUCAGCAGACCCCACUUGCAAACAACUGCUCACCUACAGAUUACCCACGCAACUGUUCAAAAGAAAAUUAGUACUAGCCAAUAGACAUCAUUCAGAUAGUAG
RNAcentral lists this ribosomal RNA (3051 nucleotides) under Triticum aestivum (bread wheat). Its description in RNAcentral is "partial small subunit ribosomal RNA". Lineage: Eukaryota; Viridiplantae; Streptophyta; Magnoliopsida; Poales; Poaceae. The record is from RNAcentral.